Molecule: ribosomal RNA, 529 nt
Filed under: uncultured bacterium
Lineage: Bacteria
Description: partial 16S ribosomal RNA
Rfam family: Bacterial small subunit ribosomal RNA
Source: RNAcentral
UGGGGAAUAUUGGACAAUGGGGGCAAUCCUGAUCCAGCAAUGCCGCGUGUGUGAAGAAGGUCUUCGGAUUGUAAAGCACCUUCGACGGGGACGAUGAUGACGGUACCCGUAGAAGAAGCCCCGGCUAACUUCGUGCCAGCAGCCGCGGUAAUACGAAGGGGGCUAGCGUUGCUCGGAAUGACUGGGCGUAAAGGGCGUGUAGGCGGUUUACACAGUCAGAUGUGAAAUCCCCGGGCUUAACCUGGGAGCUGCAUUUGAUACGUGUAGACUAGAGUGUGAGAGAGGGUUGUGGAAUUCCCAGUGUAGAGGUGAAAUUCGUAGAUAUUGGGAAGAACACCGGUGGCGAAGGCGGCAACCUGGCUCAUGACUGACGCUGAGGCGCGAAAGCGUGGGGAGCAAACAGGAUUAGAUACCCUGGUAGUCCACGCUGUAAACGAUGUGUGCUAGAUGUUGGGUAACUUUGUUAUUCAGUGUCGCAGUUAACGCGUUAAAGCACACCGCCUGGGGAGUACGGCCGCAAGGUUGAAAC